AUUGAACGCUGGCGGCAGGCCUAACACAUGCAAGUCGAGCGGAUGAAGGGAGCUUGCUCCUGGAUUCAGCGGCGGACGGGUGAGUAAUGCCUAGGAAUCUGCCUGGUAGUGGGGGAUAACGUCCGGAAACGGGCGCUAAUACCGCAUACGUCCUGAGGGAGAAAGUGGGGGAUCUUCGGACCUCACGCUAUCAGAUGAGCCUAGGUCGGAUUAGCUAGUUGGUGGGGUAAAGGCCUACCAAGGCGACGAUCCGUAACUGGUCUGAGAGGAUGAUCAGUCACACUGGAACUGAGACACGGUCCAGACUCCUACGGGAGGCAGCAGUGGGGAAUAUUGGACAAUGGGCGAAAGCCUGAUCCAGCCAUGCCGCGGGUGUGAAGAAGGUCUUCGGAUUGUAAAGCACUUUAAGGUGGGAGGAAGGGCAGUAAGUUAAUACCUUGCUGUUUUGACGUUACCAACAGAAUAAGCACCGGCUAACUUCGUG
RNAcentral lists this ribosomal RNA (484 nucleotides) under uncultured bacterium. Its description in RNAcentral is "partial 16S ribosomal RNA". It matches the Rfam family "Bacterial small subunit ribosomal RNA", at positions 30 to 507 of the family's 1533-position model. The record is from RNAcentral.